GAUGAACGCUAGCUACAGGCUUAACACAUGCAAGUCGAGGGGUAACGAGAGGAAAGCUUGCUUUCCUUGUCGACGACCGGCGCACGGGUGAGUAACGCGUAUCCAACCUGCCCCCAACUAGGGAAUAACCUUGCGAAAGUAAGACUACUACCCUAUAAUUUCCUCAGAUGACAGCUGACGAGGAAUAAAGAUUUAUCGGUUGUGGAUGGGGAUGCGUCUGAUUAGCUUGUUGGCGGGGUAACGGCCCACCAAGGCAACGAUCAGUAGGGGUUCUGAGAGGAAGGUCCCCCACAUUGGAACUGAGACACGGUCCAAACUCCUACGGGAGGCAGCAGUGAGGAAUAUUGGUCAAUGGGCGGAAGCCUGAACCAGCCAAGUAGCGUGCAGGAUGACGGCCCUAUGGGUUGUAAACUGCUUUUAUACAGGAAUAAAGUUAGCCACGUGUGGUUAUUUGUAGGUACUGUAUGAAUAAGGACCGGCUAAUUCCGUGCCAGCCGCCGCAGUAA
RNAcentral lists this ribosomal RNA (506 nucleotides) under uncultured bacterium. RNAcentral's name for it is "partial 16S ribosomal RNA". It matches the Rfam family "Bacterial small subunit ribosomal RNA", at positions 28 to 523 of the family's 1533-position model. The record is from RNAcentral.